RNAcentral lists this ribosomal RNA (543 nucleotides) under uncultured bacterium. RNAcentral describes it as "bacterial SSU rRNA". It matches the Rfam family "Bacterial small subunit ribosomal RNA", at positions 353 to 896 of the family's 1533-position model. The record is from RNAcentral.
AGUGGGGAAUAUUGGACAAUGGGCGAAAGCCUGAUCCAGCCAUGCCGCGUGUGUGAAGAAGGCCUUCGGGUUGUAAAGCUCUGUUGUAAGGGAAGAAGAGAUCAUAGAGGGAAUGCUAUGAUUGUGACGGUACCUUACCAGAAAGCCACGGCUAACUACGUGCCAGCAGCCGCGGUAAUACGUAGGUGGCGAGCGUUAUCCGGAAUUAUUGGGCGUAAAGGGUGCGUAGGCGGCACAUUAAGUCUAAGGUUAAAGUUCGAGGCUCAACUUCGGAUUGCCUUAGAAACUGGUGAGCUAGAGUGCAGGAGAGGGCAAUGGAAUUCCAUGUGUAGCGGUAAAAUGCGUAGAUAUAUGGAGGAACACCAGUGGCGAAGGCGGUUGCCUGGCCUGUAACUGACGCUGAGGCACGAAAGCGUGGGGAGCAAAUAGGAUUAGAUACCCUAGUAGUCCACGCUGUAAACGAUGAUUACUAAGUGUUGGAGAAAUUCAGUGCUGCAGUUAACGCAAUAAGUAAUCCGCCUGGGGAGUAUGCACGCGAGUGUG